Molecule: ribosomal RNA, 382 nt
Filed under: uncultured Pseudomonas sp.
Lineage: Bacteria; Pseudomonadati; Pseudomonadota; Gammaproteobacteria; Pseudomonadales; Pseudomonadaceae
Description: bacterial SSU rRNA
Rfam family: Bacterial small subunit ribosomal RNA
Source: RNAcentral
GAGAUGGAUUGGUGGCCUUCGGGAACGUCUGACACAGGUGCUGCAUGGCUGUCGUCAGCUCGUGUCGUGAGAUGUUGGGUUAAGUCCGUAACGAGCGCAACCCUUGUCCUUAGUUACCAGCACGUUAUGGUGGGCACUCUAAGGAGACUGCCGGUGACAAACCGGAGGAAGGUGGGGAGUGACGUCAAGUCAUCAUGGCCCUUACGGCCUGGGCUACACACGUGCUACAAUGGUCGGUACAAAGGGUUGCCAAGCCGCGAGGUGGAGCUAAUCCCAUAAAACCGAUCGUAGUCCGGAUCGCAGUCUGCAACUCGACUGCGUGAAGUCGGAAUCGCUAGUAAUCGUGAAUCAGAAUGUCACGGUGAAUACGUUCCCGGGCCUU